RNAcentral lists this ribosomal RNA (253 nucleotides) under uncultured bacterium. RNAcentral's name for it is "partial 16S ribosomal RNA". It matches the Rfam family "Bacterial small subunit ribosomal RNA", at positions 524 to 776 of the family's 1533-position model. The record is from RNAcentral.
UACGAACCGUGCGAACGUUGUUCGGAAUCACUGGGCUUAAAGGGCGCGUAGGCGGACGACCAAGUCGGGGGUGAAAUCUUUCGGCUCAACCGGAAAAUAGCCUUCGAUACUGGCCGUCUAGAGGGAGGUAGGGGCGUGUGGAACUUCCGGUGGAGCGGUGAAAUGCGUUGAUAUCGGAAGGAACUCCGGUGGCGAAAGCGACACGCUGGAUCUCAUCUGACGCUGAGGCGCGAAAGCCAGGGGAGCGAACGGG